CGCGUCGACAACUAGUUAACCCGGGCUAGAAACUCGGAUCUCAACCGGGAGUGAACUGGAGAGGACUAAAACCGGGGGCUGAAGGAGGUGUGGGCGCAUUCCGACGGAUCCUGAGGUUCCCAGGGUGCUGGGUGUCGGAAAGAACUUGGUCUAGUGCAGUAUUCAUCCUAGAGGUUGGUUCUCAGAGUUUGGUCCCAGCACCAUCAGCAUUGCCUGACCAUCCCCCACGUUCCUGGCCUGCUGACGUGGAGGAGGGGCAGCAGGGUCUGGCUACCUCCAGGGGUGAAGACAAAGCAGGUCCAGCCCUGGCAGCCGUCAUCAUCCUUGGAAAAUGUUCUGGAGUUUUUCCUUUUGUGUUUGCUGCUAAGUAUCUAGGCGGAGUGAAUAGAACCAAUUAACCUGACAGCAGAAGAGCAAAACUCAUGCAACUGAUACAAGAAAGUGACUACAGUUUAUAGAUAUAUGUGGCCAUUUGUUUUAUGGUUUAUGAAGAGAAAAAUAUUGAACACAGAGCACAUGUUUAUUUACUCUCAUUUUUGCUGUGACUUGUAAAGUGGCCCAG
This is a long non-coding RNA of Odocoileus virginianus texanus, 562 nucleotides long. RefSeq lists it as uncharacterized. NCBI's taxonomy places the organism in Eukaryota, Metazoa, Chordata, Mammalia, Artiodactyla, Cervidae. The record is from RefSeq and is a predicted model, not a curated record.